CCCCGCUUCCUCCCAUGGAUUAUGACACAGGGAUGGUGAUGACAGCUCCUGGCAAGGUCAGGAGUCAGCUCAGCCUGGCCUGAGUCAUGGGAAAGUAAUUUAUAUGAGAGCUGUCAUUGCUUAAGAACCCAAAGUAGGUAGGACCUCCAAACUCUCUUGAUAUUUGCCAUAGUUGCCUUUGAAACCUCAAAAAGGCCAUCCAGACCUGGCCCCUAGUUUACCCGGAAUGCAGUGGUGUCUGGACUUUAUUUGAAUGGCCUGCAAGUCUGUAAAGUCAUUCCUAGUGGUAGAUUUCUUAUCUCCUCAGCCAAAACAAGCACAGAGAGUUCUGGUUAUGAGGCAAUAAAGUUUAUUAGGCUCUGGGAUUACAUUAUAGCAUGACCUGUUAUACACGGUUUCAGAGAUGCUGUGGUUCCAGUCAAGCUCCCCCCACCAUCAUCUACCCGGCCAACAAUGGAACAGACUGGUAGUGAACUCCUGGUCCCUGGAGGCAGCAAAAGAAGCCACUUACCUGAGAAGCCACUUCCUCUUGGAAUCCAGCUGCCAUGCUGGGAGAAUUCUAAGCCACAUGGAGUGGCCAACCAUGUAACUGGGCUCUCAGCCAACAGCAAGCGUCAACUGCCCACCAUAUGAAUGCGCUGUCUUCCAUCCAGCCCUCGAGCCUUCAGAUGACUGCAGCCCUAGCCCCCAUCUGACUGCAGCUGCAGAAAGAAACACUCAACUGGGCACAGUCAACCCCGGAAACAUAAUAAAUUACUGUUUUGUUUUUGUUUUUGA
Homo sapiens (human) is the source of this 777-nucleotide long non-coding RNA. RefSeq lists it as uncharacterized. Lineage: Eukaryota; Metazoa; Chordata; Mammalia; Primates; Hominidae. The transcript has 2 exons. The record is from RefSeq and is a predicted model, not a curated record.